AGCAUAUCAAUAAGCGGAGGAAAAGAAACCAACAGGGAUUGCCCUAGUAACGGCGAGUGAAGCGGCAACAGCUCAAAUUUGAAAUCUGGCUUCGGCCCGAGUUGUAAUUUGCAGAGGAAGCUUUAGGCGCGGCACCUUCUGAGUCCCCUGGAACGGGGCGCCAUAGAGGGUGAGAGCCCCGUAUAGUUGGAUGCCUAGCCUGUGUAAAGCUCCUUCGACGAGUCGAGUAGUUUGGGAAUGCUGCUCAAAAUGGGAGGUAAAUUUCUUCUAAAGCUAAAUACCGGCCAGAGACCGAUAGCGCACAAGUAGAGUGAUCGAAAGAUGAAAAGCACUUUGAAAAGAGGGUUAAACAGCACGUGAAAUUGUUGAAAGGGAAGCGCUUGUGACCAGACUUGCGCCAGGCUGAUCAUCCGGUGUUCUCACCGGUGCACUCGGCCCGGCACAGGCCAGCAUCGGUUCUCGCGGGGGGAUAAAGGUCUCGGGAACGUAGCUCCUCCGGGAGUGUUAUAGCCCGGGGCGUAAUGCCCUCGCGGGGACCGAGGUUCGCGCAUCUGCAAGGAUGCUGGCGUAAUGGUCAUCAGCGACCCGUCUUGAAACACGGACCAAGGAGUCAAGGUUUUGCGCGAGUGUUUGGGUGUCAAACCCGCACGCGUAAUGAAAGUGAACGUAGGUGAGAGCUUCGGCGCAUCAUCGACCGAUCCUGAUGUUUUCGGAUGGAUUUGAGUAGGAGCGUUAAGCCUUGGACCCGAAAGAUGGUGAACUAUGCUUGGAUAGGGUGAAGCCAGAGGAAACUCUGGUGGAGGCUCGCAGCGGUUCUGACGUGCAAAUCGAUCGUCAAAUCUGAGCAUGGGGGCGAAAGACUAAUCGAACCAUCUAGUAGCUGGUUACCGCCGAAGU
Molecule: ribosomal RNA, 897 nt
Filed under: Dichotomopilus funicola
Lineage: Eukaryota; Fungi; Ascomycota; Sordariomycetes; Sordariales; Chaetomiaceae
Description: LSU rRNA
Rfam family: Eukaryotic large subunit ribosomal RNA
Source: RNAcentral